GCUGAAGUGGCUCAGUUGGUAGAGCAGCUGAUUCGUAAUCAGCAGAUCGUGGGUUCGAGUCCCAUCUUCAGCUCCA
This 76-nucleotide transfer RNA is filed under the name Clostridia bacterium. RNAcentral describes it as "tRNA-Thr". It matches the Rfam family "tRNA". From Rfam's summary of the family: Transfer RNA (tRNA) molecules are approximately 80 nucleotides in length. Their secondary structure includes four short double-helical elements and three loops (D, anti-codon, and T loops). Lineage: Bacteria; Bacillati; Bacillota; Clostridia. RNAcentral also lists the same sequence under 1 other name. The record is from RNAcentral.